Chenopodium quinoa (quinoa) is the source of this 380-nucleotide long non-coding RNA. RefSeq lists it as uncharacterized. The record is from RefSeq and is a predicted model, not a curated record. Lineage: Eukaryota; Viridiplantae; Streptophyta; Magnoliopsida; Caryophyllales; Amaranthaceae. The transcript has 2 exons.
UUUAAUUUUCUCUCUCCUCAAAAACUCAUUGUUGAAUUCGACAGAGGUAGUUCCGUUAAGCCCAACUUUACCAUUGUCAUUUCCUUGACGGCUUGAAUCCUUCACUCCUCCACGAAUUCCUCUCCUUCAUCAAAGGUUUGGCAGCAAGAAGUAGCCCACCCAUGUUCAAUUGGAAAUGUUGUGGAUCAAUUUUGAAGCUUGAGGUGGUGAACAAGGAUGACAACCAUGACAAAUUGACAGUCCCAACAUCGCCCGAUCUUAAUCCAAAUGAAAAUCUUAUUGCAUCUUCUAUUAUUUUUUGAAAACUGUAAUUUGUGUUAUUAAAACUUUAUCUUUGGUUUGUAAUUAGUGAAUUACAAUUUUUAUUGGUUUAUUAUCGU